RNAcentral lists this ribosomal RNA (472 nucleotides) under uncultured bacterium. Its description in RNAcentral is "bacterial SSU rRNA". It matches the Rfam family "Bacterial small subunit ribosomal RNA", at positions 355 to 825 of the family's 1533-position model. The record is from RNAcentral.
UCGGGAAUUUUGGGCAAUGGGCGAAAGCCUGACCCAGCCAUGCCGCGUGUGUGAAGAAGGUCUUCGGAUUGUAAAGCACUUUAAGUUGGGAGGAAGGGCAGUUACCUAAUACGUAUCUGUUUUGACGUUACCGACAGAAUAAGCACCGGCUAACUCUGUGCCAGCAGCCGCGGUAAUACAGAGGGUGCAAGCGUUAAUCGGAAUUACUGGGCGUAAAGCGCGCGUAGGUGGUUUGUUAAGUUGGAUGUGAAAUCCCCGGGCUCAACCUGGGAACUGCAUUCAAAACUGACAAGCUAGAGUAUGGUAGAGGGUGGUGGAAUUUCCUGUGUAGCGGUGAAAUGCGUAGAUAUAGGAAGGAACACCAGUGGCGAAGGCGACCACCUGGACUCAAACUGACGCUGAGGCACGAAAGCGUGGGUAGCGAACAGGAUUAGAUACCCCAGUAGUCCCUGAGCGGGCUGGCAAGGCGCAU